CUACGGGGUGCUGCAGCGAGGAAUAUUGCACAAUGGGGGGAACCCUGAUGCAGCAACGCCGCGUGGAGGAUGACGCAUUUCGGUGUGUAAACUCCUUUUAUAUGUCAAGAAAAUGACGGUAGCAUAUGAAUAAGCACCGGCUAACUCCGUGCCAGCAGCCGCGGUAAUACGGAGGGUGCAAGCGUUACUCGGAAUCACUGGGCGGAAAGGACGCGUAGGCGGGUUGGAAAGUCAGGUGUGAAAUCCUACAGCUUAACUGUAGAACUGCACUUGAAACUUCUAAUCUAGAGUAUGGGAGGGGGAGAUGGAAUUAGUGGUGUAGGGGUAAAAUCCGUAGAUAUCACUAGGAAUACCUAAAGCGAAGGCGAUCUCCUGGAACAUUACUGACGCUAAGGCGUGAAAGCGUGGGGAGCAAACAGGAUUAGAUACCCGCGUAGUC
RNAcentral lists this ribosomal RNA (439 nucleotides) under uncultured bacterium. RNAcentral describes it as "partial 16S ribosomal RNA". It matches the Rfam family "Bacterial small subunit ribosomal RNA", at positions 339 to 795 of the family's 1533-position model. The record is from RNAcentral.